Molecule: ribosomal RNA, 509 nt
Filed under: uncultured bacterium
Lineage: Bacteria
Description: bacterial SSU rRNA
Rfam family: Bacterial small subunit ribosomal RNA
Source: RNAcentral
GAUUACUGGCUCAGGAUGAACGCUAGCGGCAGGCUUAACACAUGCAAGUCGAGGGGCAUCGGGAGUAGCAAUACUGCCGGCGACCGGCGCAAGGGUGCGUAACGCGUGAGCAACAUGCCCGUAUCAGGGGGAUAAUCCAUGGAAACGUGGUCUAAUACCCCAUAGUAAUUAUGUAAGGCAUCUUAUAUAAUUUAAAGCUUUGGUGGAUACGGAUUGGCUCGCGUGACAUUAGCUGGAUGGUAAGGUAACGGCUUACCAUGGCUACGAUGUCUAGGGGUUCUGAGAGGAAGGUCCCCCACACUGGAACUGAGACACGGUCCAGACUCCUACGGGAGGCAGCAGUGAGGAAUAUUGGACAAUGGAUGGAAAUCUGAUCCAGCCAUGCCGCGUGCCAGGAAGACGGCCCUAUGGGUUGUAAACUGCUUUUGUAUGGGAGCAAUAAGGGCUACGUGUAGUCCGAUGAGAGUACCAUACGAAUAAGCACCGGCUAACUCCGUGCCAGCCGCCGC